RNAcentral lists this ribosomal RNA (907 nucleotides) under Ailadinium reticulatum. RNAcentral describes it as "eukaryotic LSU rRNA". It matches the Rfam family "Eukaryotic large subunit ribosomal RNA", at positions 22 to 920 of the family's 3401-position model. The record is from RNAcentral. Lineage: Eukaryota; Dinophyceae.
UACCCGCUGAAUUUAAGCAUAUAAGUAAGCGGAGGAAAAGAAAUUAAAAAAGAUUCCUUCAGUAGUGGCGAAUGAAGUAGGAGAAGCUCAGAUUGUAAAUUGGGACCCAUGGUCCUGAAUUGUAACCUUCAAACGUGUGGCCAACAGAGGCGCAGAUGUAGGUCUCUUGGCAGAGGGCAUCGAUGAGGGUGAAAAUCCCAUUCGUCAUCUGCAGUCCUUUGUGCACGGCCCAUGUUUUAUGAGUCACGCUCCUUGGGAUUGGAGCGCAAAUCAGUUGGUAAAUUUCAUCUAAAGCUAAAUAAUGGUUUGAGACCGAUAGAAGACAAGUACCAUGAGGGAAAGGUGAAAAGGACUUUGAAAAGAGAGUUAGUAGUGCCUGAAAUUGCUGAAUGGGAAGCGAAUGGAACCAAGACUGGGGCAGGAUUGUUGUGUGCGAUGGUGCCUCACUGCGCUCUUUCAGCGAAAGCGAGGGGGUGAAGCGAGGUCCUUCCCAGUGCAAUGUCUCCUGCCUUUUGUUCGCCAGCGUCAACACACAAGCGAGCAAAACUUUGGAGGUGUGGCGCCCCUCGCACUUCUCUGUGUGGGGGAACGCUUCCAGGGGAACUCGAUUGUGAGUGGAACGAUGGUUAGAAUGGUUCCAUUCGACCCGUCUUGAAACACGGACCAAGGAGUUUAACGCAUGUGCAAGCUCAUAGAUGGCAAAUCUGUCAGCGCAAUGAAAGUGAUUGUUGGGAUCUUUUUUUCCACCAGCAUCCAACUGAUCGAAGGGGAGAGGUUUGAGUGUGAGCAUAUUUGUUAGGACCCGAAAGAUGGUGAACUAUGCCUGAGGAGGGCAAACUCAGGGGAAACUCUGAUGGAGGCUUGUAGCGAUACUGACGUGCAAAUCGUUCGUCACACUUGGGUAUAG